Cricetulus griseus (Chinese hamster) is the source of this 95-nucleotide microRNA precursor. Lineage: Eukaryota; Metazoa; Chordata; Mammalia; Rodentia; Cricetidae. The record is from Ensembl.
GCUGUUGGCCUCUGGCACUGUGGUUCCUGUAUGAAAAUAGAGGCUGUCAGGGCCUAGACCUACAACGCCACUUCUGCUGUCACAGUGAAGUCUCC